AUUGAACGCUGGCGGCAGGCCUAACACAUGCAAGUCGAGCGGAUGAAUCGGGCUUGCUCCUGGAUUCAGCGGCGGACGGUUGAGUAAUGCCUAGGAAUCUGCCUUGUAGGGUGGGAUAACGUCCUGAAACGGGCGCUAAUACCGCAUACGUCCUGUGGGAGAAAGUGGGGGAUCUUCGGACCUCACGCUAUCAGAUGAGCCUAGGUCGGAUCAGCUAGUUGGUGGGGUAAAUGCCUACCAAGGCGACGAUCCGUAACUGGUCUGAGAGGAUGGUCAGUCACAUUGGAACUGAGAAACGGUACAGACACCUACGGGAGGAAGCAGUGGGGAAUAUUGGACGAUGGGCGAAAGCCUGAUCCAGCCAUGCCGCGUGUGUGAAGAAGGUCUUCGGAUUGGAAAGCACUUUAAGUUGGGAGGAAGGGAAGUAAGUUAAUACCUUGCUGUUUUGACGUUACCAACAGAAUAAGCACCGGCUAACUUCGUG
This 484-nucleotide ribosomal RNA is filed under the name uncultured bacterium. Its description in RNAcentral is "partial 16S ribosomal RNA". It matches the Rfam family "Bacterial small subunit ribosomal RNA", at positions 30 to 507 of the family's 1533-position model. The record is from RNAcentral.